RNAcentral lists this ribosomal RNA (272 nucleotides) under uncultured bacterium. Its description in RNAcentral is "partial 16S ribosomal RNA". It matches the Rfam family "Bacterial small subunit ribosomal RNA", at positions 83 to 354 of the family's 1533-position model. The record is from RNAcentral.
CUCCGCCGGCGACCGGCGCACGGGUGAGUAACACGUAUGCAACCUGCCCCUGUCAGGGGGACAACCCGCCGAAAGGCGGGCUAAACCCGCGUACAUGCCACCGGGGCAUCCCGGAGGCAGGAAAGGCUUCGGCCGGACAGGGAUGGGCAUGCGGCGCAUUAGGCAGUAGGCGGGGUAACGGCCCACCUAACCGACGAUGCGUAGGGGUUCUGAGAGGAAGGUCCCCCACACUGGUACUGAGACACGGACCAGACUCCUACGGGAGGCAGCAG